CCUACGGGGUGCAGCAGUGGGGGAUAUUGCACAAUGGGGGGAACCCUGAUGCAGCGACGCCGCGUGGGUGAAGAAGCGCCUCGGCGCGUAAAGCCCUGUCAGCAGGGAAGAAAAUGACGGUACCUGAAGAAGAAGCCCCGGCUAACUACGUGCCAGCAGCCGCGGUAAUACGUAGGGGGCAAGCGUUAUCCGGCUUUACUGGGUGGAAAGGGGGCGCAGACGGCGAUGCAAGCCAGGAGUGAAAGCCCGGGGCCCAACCCCGGGACUGCUCUUGGAACGGCGUGGCUGGAGUGCAGGAGGGGCAGGCGGAAUUCCUGGUGUAGCGGUGAAAUGCGUAGAUAUCAGGAGGAACACCGGUGGCGAAGGCGGCCUGCUGGACUGCAACUGACGUUGAGGCCCGAAAGCGUGGGGAGCAAACAGGAUUAGAUACCCUGGUAGUC
Molecule: ribosomal RNA, 440 nt
Filed under: uncultured bacterium
Lineage: Bacteria
Description: partial 16S ribosomal RNA
Rfam family: Bacterial small subunit ribosomal RNA
Source: RNAcentral